RNAcentral lists this long non-coding RNA (697 nucleotides) under Triticum aestivum (bread wheat). RNAcentral's name for it is "long non-coding RNA (TAES_LNC015526)". Lineage: Eukaryota; Viridiplantae; Streptophyta; Magnoliopsida; Poales; Poaceae. The record is from RNAcentral.
UCACGAUCACCUGUGUAAUAAUCAUAUAAAAAGUUUAGUAUUUUUGUUAUUGUGCAACCAGCACUGAUGUUCUGUGCAACCACACAGUACAUUUUGUGCAACUAACUAGUUGUUGUGUGCAAGUUAAGUUGAAAAAAAUACCUGCAGUAGCACGGCCUGUCAUGGUACUUGGAUUGUAGUCGCCUAUGGGCAGAACAUGAAAAACAAGUUAGAUUUUUAGCUUGAUCCUCAAACUAACACAGCGCAUGCAACUAGGCAGCAUGUUUCUGUUCAACUGGGCACUAUGAUAUGUGCAACUAAAGUCACUCACCAUAGUUUUUGUUUUGGAGUCGGUGAAGGUACUAACCUGGGUUAUGAGCCCCCUGAGUCCUACCUGUAGGUCCAUUGGGAGUAGCACAAAGGGCACUGCUAGUUGGGCCUGGCGGGGGAGGAGGUAUUUGAGGGUUGGCAUCACCUAUAGGCAGAACAGGACAAACAAGUCAGUUGUGUUUAUCUUUUUGAUGCUCGAACUAACACAGCAUGCGCAACUAGGUAGCCUGUUCGGUGCAACUGAGCACCAUGAUGUGUGCAAUUGGAGUUACAGACCUAGUUUGAUGGGGAGUUGGGGGCAUGUAAUUACCUAGACGACGAGCCCCCUGAGUGCUGCCUGUAGGGCCAUUGGGAGGAGCAUGCAGGGGAGGAGGUGGCGGAGGAUGCC